GUGGGGAAUCUUCCGCAAUGGACGAAAGUCUGACGGAGCAACGCCGCGUGAGUGAUGAAGGUCUUCGGAUUGUAAAGCUCUGUUAAUCGGGACGAAAGAGCCUAGUGUGAAUAAUGCUAGGAAGUGACGGUACCGGAAUAGAAAGCCACGGCUAACUACGUGCCAGCAGCCGCGGUAAUACGUAGGUGGCAAGCGUUGCCCGGAAUUAUUGGGCGUAAAGCGCGCGCAGGCGGAUCUGCCAGUCUGUCUUAAAAGUUCGGGGCUUAACCCCGUGAUGGGAUGGAAACUACAGAUCUAGAGUAUCGGAGAGGAAAGUGGAAUUCCUAGUGUAGCGGUGAAAUGCGUAGAUAUUAGGAAGAACACCAGUGGCGAAGGCGACUUUCUGGACGAAAACUGACGCUGAGGCGCGAAAGCCAGGGGAGCGAACGGGAUUAGAAACCCCUGUAGUCC
RNAcentral lists this ribosomal RNA (450 nucleotides) under uncultured bacterium. RNAcentral describes it as "partial 16S ribosomal RNA". It matches the Rfam family "Bacterial small subunit ribosomal RNA", at positions 354 to 796 of the family's 1533-position model. The record is from RNAcentral.